AUGAGUCUUGUGCCAGUUUCUCUCUCAUCAGGCACCAAAAUAAGAAAAGAUGACACCCCACAGCACAAAAGCAGCCCAUCAAACAACCAAGACGCCGACAUGCUCAGCAGGACUACAGGAAAGCUGCCGUCUCGCCUGUCAGAUGUAACCUUUUCUUCUCUGUCCUGGGCUUUUCUGAAAAGGUUAUUCGCACCCGAGGGGAAUUCCAGAAACCUGUGUGAUCUUGGUAACACCAUUGUGCCUUCUAAACCUAAAGCCUCGCCACCACCACCUCCUGAGAGACCAAUAGAAGAGCCCCGCCUGGUUUGCUUCACUCACCCAGAUGCCUGCUUCCUUCUGUACAAGCCUCCUUUGCUAGCUGCCUCCCAUCUCCAUCUCCUGAAGUGUUAGUGCUAGUCCUCGGUUGUAUCCAACUCUUUGCAACCCCGUGGACUGUAGCCUGCCAGGCUCUCUGUCCAUGGCACUCUCCAGGCAAGAACACUGGAGUAGGCAGCCAUUCCCUUCUCCAAGGGAUCAUCCUGACCCAGGAAUCAAAUCCGGGUCUCCUACAUUGCAGGCGGAUUCUUUACCAACUGAGCUACAAGGAAGCCUUCUUCAUUUCUUGAAACCUUUCCAAAUCCAAAAUCCAAAUCCAGCAUGCUGUUGUACAAAGUCUGGUUUUCCUAACCUAAAGGUAGAGUAAAGGCUGUCCUUUCCUGGAAGGAUCUCUCCUCUGCCCAACCUGCUCCCAAAACAGAAACUGGUUGCGGGACUUCCCUGGUAGUCCAGUGGUUAAGACUCCACCUUGAAAUUCAGGGGACACAAGUUCAGUCCCUGGUCUGGGAACUAAGAUCCCACAUGCCAUGGAGCAACUAAGCCCCCAGCUCCAGUGCUACAACUAGAGAGCCCGUGUACCGACACAAAAGAUCCCGCAUGAUGCAGUGAAGCUUCUGUGUACCCCAACUAAGACCCGAUGCAGCCAAACAAAUACAUAAAUAAAACUUUUUAAUAAAAUAUUUUUAAAAAUUGG
Molecule: long non-coding RNA, 1009 nt
Filed under: Bos indicus x Bos taurus (hybrid cattle)
Lineage: Eukaryota; Metazoa; Chordata; Mammalia; Artiodactyla; Bovidae
Description: lncRNA (ENSBIXG00005021676.1)
Source: RNAcentral